Long non-coding RNA from Lacerta agilis (Sand lizard), 402 nucleotides. RefSeq lists it as uncharacterized. The record is from RefSeq and is a predicted model, not a curated record. The transcript has 2 exons. Lineage: Eukaryota; Metazoa; Chordata; Lepidosauria; Squamata; Lacertidae.
AAAAAGAAGGAGUAAGGAAUCUGCAGGAAAUAACAAUGACAUGUGGGGUAGAAUUUCAUGUCUUCCUAUCUUUAACACCAGAGGUAGUUGGUGGCUAAACCAACUACAGUAGAGAAUUUGGCUGCCUGAGUCUGAAUAGUCAUUCAGCAUAACAGAAAAGGCAAAGCAAAUUCAAAACAGUGUUUUCUAUUUUAACACUCUUUCAUAGUUUAUUAGAAAGCCCUGCCAAUUUAAAAAUGGAAAGCAUAUGAUUGAUUCAUUGCAGAAGGCCCAUUUUUCAACAUUAAGGACUGGAACCAGCAAUUCUGCACGUAUAAUCCUACUAAGCAUGUUGAACUGCAGAGGCUCUACACUAGCACCUCCAAAUUGUUGUCCCAUGGAUCACCAUGAAUGGAAUGCUGU